Long non-coding RNA from Eriocheir sinensis (Chinese mitten crab), 1812 nucleotides. RefSeq lists it as uncharacterized. The record is from RefSeq and is a predicted model, not a curated record. NCBI's taxonomy places the organism in Eukaryota, Metazoa, Arthropoda, Malacostraca, Decapoda, Varunidae. The transcript is spliced from 2 exons.
CCUUUCCUUUCCUUUCUUUUCCUUCUUUCUCUUCCUCUUCCUCCUCUGUUCCUUCCUUUUUUCUUUCCUCCUCUUCCGUGUACUUUCUCUCAAAUUCUUUCUUCCUCCUCCACUUUCUUUACCUGUUCCUUCUCUUUCCCUUCCUUUCCUUUCAUUUCAUUUCCUUCUCUCUCUUCCUCUUCCUCUUCUAUUCCUUCCUUUUUUCUUUCCUCCUCUUCCGUCUACUUUCUCUCCAGUUCUUUCUUCCUCCUUCUCUUUCCUUUCCUUUCCUCUCCUUUUCUUCUCUCUCUUCCUCUCUCACCUGGUCACUCUUUCUUCCUCUUACUCCUCUUUUCCUUCCUUUUUUUCUUUCUUUCUCUCCAGUUCUUUCUUCCUCUUCCUCUUUCUUUACCUGUUCCUUCUCCUUCCUUUCCUUUCCUUCUCUCUUUUACUCUCUCAACUGUUCACUCUUUCUUCCUCUUCCUCCUCAAUUAUUUCUUCUUUUUCUUUCCUCCUUUUCCGUCAACUCUCUUCCUUCCUCUUAAGUGCUCAACCGUAUGAAGAACAACUCAGGUGACUAAAUCUUUUUUCGCUGGAACACGGACGUUUAACAGGAGAUUCAAUUCAGGUGUUCAAUUAUCUCAGGAAGUUCAAUAACGUCGAUCACUCUAACGUCUUUCAAUUACAAAGCAGCACAAGAACUAGAAAUAACGGUCUACCAGUUCAAGCCAGGCGAUGCAGUACGGAUAGGAGUUUCUUAUCACCCCGAGUCAUCCGCCACUGGAACAACCUCCCUUCAGUAGUAGUAAAAGCGAAUACCUUCACCUCUUUUAAAAAUCGAAUCGACCGUCCACCAAAAUUAUUCAAGCAAGGCAAGGCAGUACGGACAGGAGUUUCUUAUCACCCCGAGUCAUCCGCCACUGGAACAACCUCCCUUCAGAAGUAGUAAAUGCGAAUACCUUCACCUCAUUUAAGAAUCGAAUCGACCGUCCACCAAAAUUAUUCAAGCAAGGCGAGGCAGUACGGACAGGAGUUUCUUAUCACCCCGAGUCAUCCGCCACUGGAACAACCUCCCUUCAGAAGUAGUAAAAGCGAAUACCUUCACCUCUUUUAAAAAUCGAAUCGACCGUUUUUUCUUUGCGUCAGGAGUAAACUGAAUAUCGAAUUGCUUUCAUCUACUCUGCGGGACCACCAAGCGACUGUCGAGCAGAUUAGGGCAACCUCGUAUGAGCCAAUAAGCUUUCUGUUGCCUGCAUUUCCACGUUUUCAUGCUUCUCCAGCUUUUCCUCAACUAUCCAUCCCUUUCCAAUAUCUCCUUUUUUUCUUCUUCUCCAUCUCCUCUUCUUCUAUCCUUCCAAAGAAUUAAAAUAAGAUAAUAUGAAGUACAAAUUUAAAAGAGCAUAAUGGGAGUAAUAAUAAUAAUAAUAAUAAUAAUAAUAAUAAUAAUAAUAAUAAUAAUAAAAAGAAGAAGAAGAAGAGAAGAAGUGUCGAAAGAAGAAUAUAGAAAAAAAAAAAAAAACCUACAAACUGAAGUCAAGGUUAUGAUCUGCUGUGAGUGUGUGUGUGUGUAUGUGCGUGUGUGUAUAUGUGUGUGUGUGUGUGUGUGUGUGUGUGUGUAGAGUGGUGUGUCAGUGUAUGUGUGCGCGCGGUGCUGUGAGAAAGGAGAAAAAGAGAGAGAUAGAGAGACAAUGAGAUAAGGAAGAGAGAAAAAGGAGAUAAAAGAGAGAGAGAGAGAGAGAGAGAGAGAGAGAGAGAGAGAGAGAGAGAGAGAGAGAGAGAGAGAGAGAGAGAGAGAGAGAGAGAGAGAGAGAGAGAGAGAGAGAGAGAGAGAGA